This 724-nucleotide ribosomal RNA is filed under the name uncultured Chloroflexota bacterium. RNAcentral's name for it is "bacterial SSU rRNA". It matches the Rfam family "Bacterial small subunit ribosomal RNA", at positions 582 to 1318 of the family's 1533-position model. The record is from RNAcentral. Lineage: Bacteria; Bacillati; Chloroflexota.
GGUAAGUUGGGUAUGAAAUCUCCUGGCUUAACUAGGAGAGGUUGCUCAAAACUACCAGACUAGAGGACGGUAGAGGGAGGUGGAAUUCCCGGUGUAGUAGUGAAAUGCGUAGAUAUCGGGAGGAACACCAGUGGCGAAGGCGGCCUCCUGGGCCGUUCCUGACACUAAGACGCGAAAGCAUGGGGAGCGAACGGGAUUAGAAACCCCGGUAGUCCAUGCCGUAAACGAUGUGGACUUGAUGUCGGCAGCGUAAUAGUUGUCGGUGUCGUAGUUAACGCGAUAAGUCCACCGCCUGGGGAGUACGAUCGCAAGGUUAAAACUCAAAGGAAUUGACGGGGACCCGCACAAGCAGCGGAGCGUGUGGUUUAAUUCGAUGCUACACGAAGAACCUUACCUGGGCUUGACAUAUAGGUGGUAGGGAUCCGAAAGGUGACCGACCCCUCGGGGAGCCUAUACAGGUGCUGCAUGGCUGUCGUCAGCUCGUGCCGUGAGGUGUCCGGUUAAGUCCGGUAACGAGCGCAACCCUUGCCGUAUGUUACAUGUGUCCUGCGGGACUGCCGGUAUAAAACCGGAGGAAGGUGGGGACGACGUCACAGUCAGCAUGGCCUUUAUGUCCAGGGCUACACACACGCUACAAUGGUCGGUACAAUGGGUAGCAAAGUCGCGAGGCGGAGCCAAUCCUCAAAACCGAUCUCAGUUCGGAUUGCAGUCUGCAACUCGACUG